RNAcentral lists this ribosomal RNA (253 nucleotides) under uncultured bacterium. RNAcentral's name for it is "partial 16S ribosomal RNA". It matches the Rfam family "Bacterial small subunit ribosomal RNA", at positions 524 to 776 of the family's 1533-position model. The record is from RNAcentral.
UACAGAGGUCCCAAGCGUUGUUCGGAUUCACUGGGCGUAAAGGGCGCGUAGGCGGGCGGUCAAGUCGGGGGUGAAAUCUUUCAGCUUAACUGGAAAAGUGCCUCCGAUACUGAUCGCCUCGAGGGAGGUAGGGGCAUGUGGAACUUCCGGUGGAGCGGUGAAAUGCGUAGAUAUCGGAAGGAACAUCGGUGGCGAAAGCGGCGCGCUGGACCUCUUCUGACGCUGAGGCGCGAAAGCCAGGGGAGCAAACGGG